RNAcentral lists this ribosomal RNA (438 nucleotides) under uncultured bacterium. Its description in RNAcentral is "bacterial SSU rRNA". It matches the Rfam family "Bacterial small subunit ribosomal RNA", at positions 954 to 1392 of the family's 1533-position model. The record is from RNAcentral.
GCAGAACGCGAAGAACCUUACCUACUCUUGACAUCCAGAGAACUUAGCAGAGAUGCUUUGGUGCCUUCGGGAACUCUGAGACAGGUGCUGCAUGGCUGUCGUCAGCUCGUGUUGUGAAAUGUUGGGUUAAGUCCCGCAACGAGCGCAACCCUUAUCCUUUGUUGCCAGCGGUUAGGCCGGGAACUCAAAGGAGACUGCCAGUGAUAAACUGGAGGAAGGUGGGGAUGACGUCAAGUCAUCAUGGCCCUUACGAGUAGGGCUACACACGUGCUACAAUGGCGCAUACAAAGAGAAGCGACCUCNCGAGAGCAAGCGGACCUCAUAAAGUGCGUCGUAGUCCGGAUUGGAGUCUGCAACUCGACUCCAUGAAGUCGGAAUCGCUAGUAAUCGUAGAUCAGAAUGCUACGGUGAAUACGUUCCCGGGUCUUGUACACACCG